GGUUAUGGCUCAGUGGUAGAGUGCUUUCCUCACAUGUGCAAGGCCCUGGGUUCGAUCCUCAGCACCA
This 67-nucleotide transfer RNA is filed under the name Marmota monax (woodchuck). Its description in RNAcentral is "tRNA.Val". Lineage: Eukaryota; Metazoa; Chordata; Mammalia; Rodentia; Sciuridae. The record is from RNAcentral.